Long non-coding RNA from Scylla paramamosain (green mud crab), 1932 nucleotides. RefSeq lists it as uncharacterized. The transcript has 5 exons. The record is from RefSeq and is a predicted model, not a curated record. NCBI's taxonomy places the organism in Eukaryota, Metazoa, Arthropoda, Malacostraca, Decapoda, Portunidae.
CCAUCAACCCUGCGCCUAAGCUGGCCAUGACAGACGUAAACACAAGACAGACUUCACAUUUGUGGUGUUGAAUUACCACAAUUAUCUUCUCACAUCGCCUCUGUUACGCCACAUCGGGGACUCCAACGCUGACAUGUAUAUUCUCGAGGCAUUGAGGAGUGGAUUGAGGAUAAUAUAACAGCGGUGCAACGUGGAAAUAAAGAGCGUUGUAGUUGGUGAAGGUGAGGCAAGGAGGAAAUUACUGUGGGCUCAGUGAAGUGCAAACCUGAGUGUCGGCCGCCACCGCGCACCACACGGCCUGUCCUGUGCUGUGUGCCGCUGCCCCAGAGAGCUGCUGUUCCCGUGAAAGUGGACCGAGAACCAUGUGGUGCCUGACACAGCACGCCAGGCAGGGCACAGGGGCAGUGUGGAGGCAGAGCUGAACUGUGCGCUGGUGGCUGUCUGUCGGCUGCUCCUGGUGCCUCGGUCACCUCCCACUCGAUCUUCCCUUCCUGAAGGCUUCCUGGCCGACCCGUCCCUCCCUACUCCACGAGCUGGACAUAAGACAGUCCAGGCCGCCGCCCUGCUUGACACUGAACACCCCAGCCAGCUUCCUUGAGGGGCCCUGCAGGACAGAAUGUUUGUGCGUGUUGGACACAGCCAUGACUUGAAGCUGUCCUGGUGCACCUGUCUGUCUCCUGGCUGUCACUUUAGGACACCUGUCAUGCUUGGUGGCAGUGGCAGGAUCUGUGGUCCUCUAUGGCCUCCAGCUCCAAGUUCCCCAGUAUUCCAGGACUGAAUUAUCACCAGCCAGCCCUAAGUCAGUGAUACCUCAAGGAGUCUCCAGGGAAUACCCCAGCCACUGAUACCUCAGUCUCCGGAGAAAGACCACGGCUACUGUUACCUCAAAGAGUCUCCGGAGAAAGACCACGGCUACUGUUACCUCAAAGAGUCUCCGGAGAAAGACCACGGCUACUGUUACCUCAAAGAGUCUGCGGAGAAAGACCACAGCUACUGUUACCUCAAAGAGUCUCCGGAGAAAGACCACGGCUACUGUUACCUCAAAGAGUCUCCGGAGAAAGACCACGGCUACUGUUACCUCAAAGAGUCUCCGGAGAAAGACCACGGCUACUGUUACCUCAAAGAGUCUCCGGAGAAAAACCACGGCUACUGUUACCUCAAAGAGUCUCCGGAGAAAGACCACGGCUACUGUUACCUCAAAGAGUCUCUGGAGGAUUACAACAACUUAUUGUGAAAUUUUUUUUUCAAACAAAAACAAUACAACGUUUGAGAGAGUCCUCAGAAUUCUUUAACAGCUCACAGCAGCAUCACCAAGCCUGUCUCCCUUGUGCUUGUGUUGAGGCAAGUGUGGCAGGCAACUUACCACCUAUCAGAGACAGGCCAGGAGCAUCAGUCUUGUGAGGUCUUUCCCCCACCAUGCAGGCAGGGGAGAGACGAGUGACUGGUUACUCCUUCCAUCCCCCGCAGUAGUCGUGGUGGUGGUGGUGUGCCUGUGUCAUCAUCCACACCCCAGCAGCAUCUUGAAUGAAGGCCGUCCCCACACACACACACACACACACACACAGGAACGACCACCACAGCUCAGCGAGGUCUCGUUUCUACAACAGCAGCAGCAGUGGUGGUGGUAUUCUGGGGUUCCUCUACAACAGCAGCAGCAGCAGCAGUGGUGGUGGUGGUAUUCUGGGGUUCCUCAAGAUGGUGUCAUUCAUCACCACUACUGAUAGCUCAGGAAGGCGGCGUCUUGCUUCAUCCCUGGCAGUAGCAGUGGUGUGUGUCAUCCCUACCACCCUAUAUCAGUAGUGGUGGUGGUGGUGGUGGUGAUGAUGAUGGUGGUGUCCUGGGGGCAGUGCUGUGGUGACGGCUGGGUGUUGGAGGUGUAGGGUGGAUUGGAUGGAUGGAUGGAGCAGCCACGUCGUACAUCAGGCUUCAUCU